Molecule: ribosomal RNA, 570 nt
Filed under: Triticum aestivum (bread wheat)
Lineage: Eukaryota; Viridiplantae; Streptophyta; Magnoliopsida; Poales; Poaceae
Description: partial small subunit ribosomal RNA
Source: RNAcentral
AUGGAGGAUUUUGUCAGGCAGUGCGCCGUCUGUCAACAUGCCAAGCACGAGCACACGCAUCCCGCCGGCAAGCUUCAACCUCUACCAAUCCCCACCGAACCAUGGCACGAUCUGACCAUGGAUUUCUUCGAGGAGCUGCCCAAGUCCGAGGGGUCUGACGCCAUCAUGGUCGUCGUCGAUCGUCUGACCAAGUACGCGCACUUCAUUCCUCUACAUCACCCCUUCACCGCUGUUCAAGUCGCCCGAGCAUUCUGGGAACACGUCAUCAAGCUGCACGGAGUUCCUCACUCCAUCGUCUCGGAUCGCGAUAAGAUUUUCACCAGCGCCAUGUGGCGCGAAUUGCUCGCCGCCGCCGGAACAAAACUGCUCUACUCCACGGUGUACCACCCGCAGACGGACGGCCAGACGGAGCGCGUCAACCAGUGCCUCAAGAUGUACUUGCGGUGCGCGGUACACGACACGCCGCGGCAGAGUUCUGGUACAACUCCGCUCACCACUCCUCGCUCAAGUGUUCGUCGUUCAAGGCGCUGUACGGCAAGGAACCGAACCUGGGCGGCCUACCACACCUGA